This 199-nucleotide long non-coding RNA is filed under the name Sorghum bicolor (sorghum). RNAcentral's name for it is "long non-coding RNA (SBIC_LNC017599)". The record is from RNAcentral. Lineage: Eukaryota; Viridiplantae; Streptophyta; Magnoliopsida; Poales; Poaceae.
UUUCUCUUUUGCUUUUGUGGGAAUGACCAAACUAUGGCACUGUAUCAAACUGAAUUGUGUGUGUUACUUUCAAACUAUGAAGCUUCCGCUACUUGAGAACUUGGUUUGUAAUAAUUUUAAGCACUCCGGUGUAUUUGAUGAAUGUUUGUGAACUGGAUGUAAUUGUGAAUGGUGGCCGCUGAACUUAUUAUGAUCUUGG